This 795-nucleotide ribosomal RNA is filed under the name Candidatus Phytoplasma pyri. RNAcentral describes it as "bacterial SSU rRNA". It matches the Rfam family "Bacterial small subunit ribosomal RNA", at positions 412 to 1219 of the family's 1533-position model. The record is from RNAcentral. Lineage: Bacteria; Bacillati; Mycoplasmatota; Mollicutes; Acholeplasmatales; Acholeplasmataceae.
AGUAUUUAGGUAUGUAAAGUUCUUUUAUUAAAGAAGAAAAAAUGAUGGAAAAAUCAUUCUGACGGUAUUUAAUGAAUAAGCCCCGGCUAACUAUGUGCCAGCAGCUGCGGUAAUACAUGGGGGGCAAGCGUUAUCCGGAUUUAUUGGGCGUAAAGGGUGCGUAGGCGGUUUAAUAAGUCUAUGGUCUAAGUUCAACGCUUAACGUUGUGAUGCUAUAGAAACUGUUUGACUAGAGUUGGAUAGAGGCAAGUGGAAUUCCAUGUGUAGCGGUAAAAUGCGUAAAGAUAUGGAGGAACACCAGUAGCGAAGGCGGCUUGCUGGGUCUUAACUGACGCUGAGGCACGAAAGCGUGGGGAGCAAACAGGAUUAGAUACCCUGGUAGUCCACGCCGUAAACGAUGAGUACUAAGUGUUGGGUUAAACCAGUGCUGAAGUUAACGCAUUAAGUACUCCGCCUGAGUAGUACGUACGCAAGUAUGAAACUUAAAGGAAUUGACGGGACUCCGCACAAGCGGUGGAUCAUGUUGUUUAAUUCGAAGAUACACGAAAAACCUUACCAGGUCUUGACAUACUCUGCAAAGCUAUAGAAAUAUAGUGGAGGUUAUCAGGGAUACAGGUGGUGCAUGGUUGUCGUCAGCUCGUGUCGUGAGAUGUUGGGUUAAGUCCCGCAACGAGCGCAACCCUUAUCGCUAGUUACCAUCAUUUAGUUGGGCACUUUAGUGAGACUGCCAAUGAUAAAUUGGAGGAAGGUGGGGAUUACGUCAAAUCAUCAUGCCCCUUAUGACCUGGGCUACAA